Molecule: non-coding RNA, 1121 nt
Organism: Saimiri boliviensis boliviensis (Bolivian squirrel monkey)
Lineage: Eukaryota; Metazoa; Chordata; Mammalia; Primates; Cebidae
Source: RefSeq, a predicted model, not a curated record
CCUGCGCUGUGAGGAGCAGCUCGCGCCUGGGCUUUGGGCCGGCUGCAGUAUCAGUCUGAGGUCUGCCGAAGCGGCUGGCUCAGUUAAGAUGAGGCUUCUGCUGCUUCUCCUGGUGGCGGCGUUGGCGGUGGUCCGGAGCGAGGCCUCGGCCAACCUGGGCGGUGUGCCCAGCAAGAGAUUAAAGAUGCAGUACGCCACGGGGCCGCUGCUCAAGUUCCAGAUUUGUGUUUCCUGAGGUUAUAGGCGGGUAUUUGAGGAGUACAUGCGGGUUAUUAGCCAGCGGUACCCAGACAUCCGCAUUGAAGGAGAGAAUUACCUCCCUCAACCAAUAUAUAGACACAUAGCAUCUUUCCUGUCAGUCUUCAAACUAGUAUUAAUAGGCUUAAUAAUUGUUGGCAAGGAUCCUUUUGCUUUCUUUGGCAUGCAAGCGCCUAGCAUCUGGCAGUGGGGCCAAGAAAAUAAGGUCUAUGCAUGUAUGAUGGUUUUCUUCUUGAGCAACAUGAUUGAGAACCAGUGUAUGUCAACAGGUGCAUUUGAGAUAACUUUAAAUGAUGUACCUGUAUGGUCUAAGCUGGAAUCUGGUCACCUUCCAUCCAUGCAAUAACUUGUUCAAAUUCUUGACAAUGAAAUGAAGCUCAAUGUGCAUAUGGAUUCAAUCCCACACCAUCGAUCAUAGCACCACCUAUCAGCACUGAAAACUCUUUUGCAUUAAGAGAUUUUUGCAAGAGCAGCAUGACUGACAUUAUGAAGGUCUGUACUGAAGACAGCAAGCUGUUAGUACAGACUAGAUGCUUUCUUGGCAGGCUCGUUGUACCUCUUGGAAAACCUCAAUGCAGGAUAGUUUUUCAGUGCUGGCAUAUUUUGGAAUUCUGCACAUUCGUGGAGUGCAAUAAUGCUGUAUAGCUUUUUUUCCCCUCCAAAUUCACCCAGUUAAUGUGUUUUUGUUAAGGUAGAUAUUACUUCUUACAACUUUUUUCUUAGUUGUAUUUGAAAAAGUAGAAAAUUGAGUUAUGAUUUGAUUUUUUUUCUCAAAGAUGUCUGUUAAAUUGCUGUGCUUUUAUGUGAAUAUUUGUUUUUUAUAGUUUAAAAUUGAUCCUUGGGAAUCCAGCUGAAGUUCCCAG